UACAGAGGUCUCAAGCGUUGUUCGGAUUCAUUGGGCGUAAAGGGCGCGUAGGCUGCGGGGCAAGUCGGGUGUGAAAUCUCAGAGCUCAACUCUGAAACUGCACUCGAUACUGCUCUGCUGGAGGACUGGAGAGGAGAUUGGAAUUCACGGUGUAGCAGUGAAAUGCGUAGAUAUCGUGAGGAAGACCAGUGGCGAAGGCGGAUCUCUGGACAGUUCCUGACGCUGAGGCGCGAAGGCCAGGGGAGCAAACGGG
Molecule: ribosomal RNA, 253 nt
Filed under: uncultured bacterium
Lineage: Bacteria
Description: partial 16S ribosomal RNA
Rfam family: Bacterial small subunit ribosomal RNA
Source: RNAcentral